This 1020-nucleotide ribosomal RNA is filed under the name Salmonella enterica. RNAcentral's name for it is "partial 23S ribosomal RNA". It matches the Rfam family "Bacterial large subunit ribosomal RNA", at positions 1213 to 2215 of the family's 2925-position model. RNAcentral also lists the same sequence under 1 other name. Lineage: Bacteria; Pseudomonadati; Pseudomonadota; Gammaproteobacteria; Enterobacterales; Enterobacteriaceae. The record is from RNAcentral.
CUCAGGCGUUGUUGGGUAGGGGAGCGUUCUGUAAGCCUGUGAAGGUGGCCUGUGAGGGUUGCUGGAGGUAUCAGAAGUGCGAAUGCUGACAUAAGUAACGAUAAAGCGGGUGAAAAGCCCGCUCGCCGGAAGACCAAGGGUUCCUGUCCAACGUUAAUCGGGGCAGGGUGAGUCGACCCCUAAGGCGAGGCCGAAAGGCGUAGUCGAUGGGAAACGGGUUAAUAUUCCCGUACUUGGUGUUACUGCGAAGGGGGGACGGAGAAGGCUAUGUUGGCCGGGCGACGGUUGUCCCGGUUUAAGCGUGUAGGUGUGUGUUCCAGGUAAAUCCGGUUCACUUUAACACUGAGGCGUGACGACGAGGCACUACGGUGCUGAAGCAACAAAUGCCCUGCUUCCAGGAAAAGCCUCUAAGCAUCAGGUAACAUCAAAUCGUACCCCAAACCGACACAGGUGGUCAGGUAGAGAAUACCAAGGCGCUUGAGAGAACUCGGGUGAAGGAACUAGGCAAAAUGGUGCCGUAACUUCGGGAGAAGGCACGCUGACACGUAGGUGAAGUGAUUUACUCAUGGAGCUGAAGUCAGUCGAAGAUACCAGCUGGCUGCAACUGUUUAUUAAAAACACAGCACUGUGCAAACACGAAAGUGGACGUAUACGGUGUGACGCCUGCCCGGUGCCGGAAGGUUAAUUGAUGGGGUCAGCGCAAGCGAAGCUCCUGAUCGAAGCCCCGGUAAACGGCGGCCGUAACUAUAACGGUCCUAAGGUAGCGAAAUUCCUUGUCGGGUAAGUUCCGACCUGCACGAAUGGCGUAAUGAUGGCCAGGCUGUCUCCACCCGAGACUCAGUGAAAUUGAACUCGCUGUGAAGAUGCAGUGUACCCGCGGCAAGACGGAAAGACCCCGUGAACCUUUACUAUAGCUUGACACUGAACAUUGAGCCUUGAUGUGUAGGAUAGGUGGGAGGCUUUGAAGCGUGGACGCCAGUCUGCGUGGAGCCGACCUUGAAAUACCACCCUUUAAUGUUU